RNAcentral lists this ribosomal RNA (468 nucleotides) under uncultured bacterium. RNAcentral's name for it is "partial 16S ribosomal RNA". It matches the Rfam family "Bacterial small subunit ribosomal RNA", at positions 28 to 507 of the family's 1533-position model. The record is from RNAcentral.
GACGAACGCUGGCGGCGUGCUUAACACAUGCAAGUCGAACGGAAAGGCCCUGCUUUUGUGGGGUGCUCGUGUGGCGAACGGGUGAGUAACACGUGAGUAACCUCCCCUUGUCUUUGUGAUAACUUCUGGAAACUGGGGCUCAUACCGGAUAGGAGCUCCUGCUGCAUAGUGGGGGUUGGAAAGUUUCGGCGGUUGGGGAUGUACUCGCGGCUUAUCAGCUUGUUGGUGGGGUAGUGGCUUACCAAGGCUUUGACGGGUAGCCGGCCUGAGAGGGUGACCGGCGACAUUGGGACUGAGAGACGGCGCAGAAGGCUACGGGAGGCAGCAGGGGGGAAUAUGGCGGAGUGGGCGGAAGCGUGAUGCAGAAACGCCGCGUGCGGGAUGACGGCCUUCGGGUGGUAAACAGCUGUGGAAUGUGACGAAGCGUGAGUGACGGUAAUGGGUAAAGAAGCACCGGCUAACUACGUG